CGGAGGAAAAGAAACUAACAAGGAUUCCCCUAGUAGCGGCGAGCGAAGCGGGAAGAGCCCAAAAUGAAAAGCCUGCUUGCAGGCGUUGUAUUUGGGCGCUCUUGGGGUGUCAGUGCGGGCAAGUUGUAUGGAAAUACAUGCCGUGGAGGGUGAAAGUCCCGUCCAACCUGCACAGGACAGUCUUGUCAAGAGCGUCUCUGACGAGUCGGGUAGCUUGGGAAUGCUGCUCUAAUUGGUGGUAAAUCUCAUCAAAGGCUAAAUAAUGACCGGAAACCGAUAGCGAACAAGUACCGUGAGGGAAAGAUGACAAGCACUUUGAAAAGAGGGUGAAAAGAACCUGAAACCGUCAUGGGGGAAGCGGAUUGCGUUAAGGAAAAGGGAAUGUUGCGUGUUCAGCCGGUAACACGGUGCAUUGGCGCAGCGGACCGAUCUGUCGUGAGUUUUGGACGGUUGAUGUUGAACCGUGCAGGGCUGAGGGCUCCCUUUGUAAAGGUUGAGGACGAUGGAUAUUGACGCGAACCGACCCGUCUUGAAACACGGACCAAGGAGUCUAGCGCGACUGCGAGUCAGAGGGUGCAAGCCUGAGGGCGUAGUGAAAGCGAUUGUGAAAACAACAGUUUGGGGCGGCAUGAGAUUGUCAAUUUCAAGUCCGACCUUGAGCAGUUGCGCUGGGACCCGAAAGAUGGUGAACUAUGCCGGAGUAGGGCAAAGCCAGAGGAAACUCUGGUGGAGGCUCGUAGCGGUGCUGACGUGCAAAUCGCUCGUCCGACUUUGGUAUAGGGGCGAAAGACUAAUCGAACCAUCUAGUAGCUGGUUCCCUCCGAAGUUUCUCUCAGGAUAGCGGGCCGACGGGUGUUGUUUUGUGUGGUAAAGCGAAUGAUUAGCGCACUCGGGGGCAGACUGCCUUUGGGCGAUUCUCAAACUUUCAAUACGCAAGGGUGCCGCUGCUUGGUUGAGCGGCACCGGCAAAAACGUCGGCCCUGUGGGCCACUUUUGGUAAGCAGAACUGGCGAUACGGGAUGAACCGUAAGCGUGGUUAAGGCGCCCAAGUGCCCGCUUAUAGACCCCACAAAAGGUGUUGAUUCAUCGAGACAGCAGGACGGUGGCCAUGGAAGUCGGAAUCCGCCAAGGAGUGUGUAACAACUCACCUGCCGAAUGAAUUAGCCCUGAAAAUGGAUGGCGCUCAAGCGGGCGGCCGACACCACGCCGUCUGGACAAGAAAUGAUUCAGAUGAGUAGGAGGGCGUGGCGGUUGUUUCGAAGCGCCUGUGCAAACGGGUGUGGAACGGCUGCUAGUGCAGAUCUUGGUGGUAGUAGCAAGUAUUCAAGCGAGAUCCUUGAAGGGCGAAGCGGGGAAGGGUUCCACGCGAACAUUGAUUGGGCGUGGGUGAGUCGUUCCUAAGCCGAGUGGCAAUUGCUAAGUAGCGGCGAAAGGGAAGCGGGUUGAAAUUCCCGCACACGGAUGUGGAGGCGGUGACGCACGUUGGGACAAACACGUUGGCGAUGGCGCUGGGCAGAGUUGUCUUUUCUGUUUGACCUGUGGUGCGCUGUGUGGAAUCCGAUUGUCGGGAGAAACACGCGUGUUUGGGCAGAGCGCCGGGGUUUUUCCGGCGUCCAGCUCGCCAUCGACGACCCUUGAAACUUUGUCUGCUGAAUAAAUCCACGCCGUGGCGUACCGAUUACCGCAUCAGGUCCCCAAGGUGAACAGCCUCUGCUCAAUAUGAACAAUGCAGGUAAGGGAAGUCGGCAAAUUAGACCCCUAACUUUGGGAUAAGGGUUGGCUCUAGUGCUGCGUGGGAGUGGUUGCCGGGUGUUGGGGCGGUGGGUGAGGCGGACUGGCGCGGGAUUUGCCCAAUGUUUGUUUGGGUGAGACUUGUUCCGGCUGCUUUGCCCGCUGUUUCACGGCUGGCGACGCCCACAGCAUGCAGCAGACUAGAACUGCAACGGGCAAAGGGAAUCCGACUGUUUAAUUAAAACAAAGCAUUGCGAGGGCCGUGGCCGGUGAUGACGCAAUGUGAUUUCUGCUCAGUGCUCUGAAUGUCAAAGUGAAGAGAUUCAAUCAAGCGCGGGUAAACAGCGGGAGUAACUAUGACUCUCUUAAGGUAGCCAAAUGCCUCGUCAUCUAAUUAGUGACGCGCAUGAAUGGAUUAACGAGAUUCCUACUGUCCCUAUCUGCUUCUAGCGAAACCACAGCCGAGGGAACGGGCUCGGCGAAAUCGGCGGGGAAAGAAGACCCUGUUGAGCUUGACUCUAUUCUAAUUUUGUCAAGCAAGUUGGGAGGUGUAGCAUAGGAGGGAGCAUUCCGUUGAAUGCGUCCGUGAAAUACCUCUACUCCCAGUCUUGCUUUACUUACUGGGUUGGUGUGGAUUGGAUUGACAAAAUCCUGUUUUGGAACCAACACAUGUUUGCCCGAGUGCAACUGUGGACCACAGCCCAGUACACAUUUAGGAGGGGAGUUUGGCUGGGGCGGCACAUCUUCUACAAGACAACGAAGGUGUCCAAAGAUGAGCUCAGUGUGAACAGAAAUCACACGUAGCGCAAAAGGGUAAAAGCUUGUUUGAUUUUGAUUUUCAGUGCGAGUCGAAAACACGAAAGUGUGGCCUAUCGAUCCUUUCACGAUUCGAGAUUUGAAGCGAGAGGUGUCAGAAAAGUUACCACAGGGAUAACUGGCUUGUGGCGGCCAAGCGUUCAUAGCGACGUCGCUUUUUGAUCCU
This 2713-nucleotide ribosomal RNA is filed under the name Austrokallymenia rosea. Its description in RNAcentral is "LSU rRNA". It matches the Rfam family "Eukaryotic large subunit ribosomal RNA", at positions 51 to 2877 of the family's 3401-position model. Lineage: Eukaryota; Rhodophyta; Florideophyceae; Gigartinales; Kallymeniaceae. The record is from RNAcentral.